GGAUUAGAUACCCUGGUAGUCCACGCCGUAAACGAUGUCUACUUGGAGGUUGUGCCCUUGAGGCGUGGCUUCCGGAGCUAACGCGUUAAGUAGACCGCCUGGGGAGUACGGCCGCAAGGUUAAAACUCAAAUGAAUUGACGGGGGCCCGCACAAGCGGUGGAGCAUGUGGUUUAAUUCGAUGCAACGCGAAGAACCUUACCUGGUCUUGACAUCCACAGAAGAAUCCAGAGAUGGAUUUGUGCCUUCGGGAACUGUGAGACAGGUGCUGCAUGGCUGUCGUCAGCUCGUGUUGUGAAAUGUUGGGUUAAGUCCCGCAACGAGCGCAACCCUUAUCCUUUGUUGCCAGCGGUUAGGCCGGGAACUCAAAGGAGACUGCCAGUGAUAAACUGGAGGAAGGUGGGGAUGACGUCAAGUCAUCAUGGCCCUUACGACCAGGGCUACACACGUGCUACAAUGGCGCAUACAAAGAGAAGCGACCUCGCGAGAGCAAGCGGACCUCAUAAAGUGCGUCGUAGUCCGGAUUGGAGUCUGCAACUCGACUCCAUGAAGUCGGAAUCGCUAGUAAUCGUGGAUCAGAAUGCCACGGUGAAUACGUUCCCGGGCCUUGUACACACCGCCCGUCACACCAUGGGAGUGGGUUGCAAAAGAAGUAGGUAGCUUAACCUUCGGGAGGGCGCUUACCACUUUGUGAUUCAUGACUGGGGUGAAGUCGUAACAAGGUAACCGUAGGGGAACCUGCGGUUGGA
Molecule: ribosomal RNA, 747 nt
Filed under: Salmonella enterica subsp. enterica serovar Enteritidis
Lineage: Bacteria; Pseudomonadati; Pseudomonadota; Gammaproteobacteria; Enterobacterales; Enterobacteriaceae
Description: bacterial SSU rRNA
Rfam family: Bacterial small subunit ribosomal RNA
Source: RNAcentral